This 430-nucleotide unclassified non-coding RNA is filed under the name soil metagenome. RNAcentral describes it as "partial contains 5.8S ribosomal RNA, internal transcribed spacer 2, and large subunit ribosomal RNA". The stretch from base 1 to 120 matches the Rfam family "5.8S ribosomal RNA", at positions 35 to 154 of the family's 154-position model. The record is from RNAcentral.
GAUGAAGAACGCAGCGAAAUGCGAUACGUAAUGUGAAUUGCAGAAUUCAGUGAGUCAUCGAAUCUUUGAACGCAUAUUGCGCUCUCUGGUAUUCCGGAGAGCAUGCUUGUUUGAGUAUCAGUAAACACCUCAACUCUUUUUUCUUUUUUGAAAUCGGAGCUGGACUUGAGUGAUCCCAACGCUUUCUUCCAAGAAAGUGGCGGGUUGCUUGAAAUGCAGGUGCAGCUGAACUUUUCUCUGAGCUAUAAGCAUAUCUAUUUAGUCUGCCUAAAAAACAGAUUAUUACCUUUGCUGCAGCUAACAUAAAGGAGACUAGUUCUUGUGCUGACUGAUGCAGGAUUCACAGAGACAGCUUCGGCUGACUUUGUAAACUCGAUCUCAAAUCAAGUAAGACUACCCGCUGAACUUAAGCAUAUCAAUAAGCGGAGGA